Non-coding RNA from Potamilus streckersoni, 78 nucleotides. The record is from the annotation of a GenBank genome assembly. Lineage: Eukaryota; Metazoa; Mollusca; Bivalvia; Unionida; Unionidae.
AACCUCUCCGGUAGCUUACUGGUUACAGCGUCCGCCUCAGAUAUGGGAGGUCGCGGGUUCGAAACCCCGGCCAAGUCA